This is a long non-coding RNA of Rhododendron vialii, 479 nucleotides long. RefSeq lists it as uncharacterized. NCBI's taxonomy places the organism in Eukaryota, Viridiplantae, Streptophyta, Magnoliopsida, Ericales, Ericaceae. The transcript is spliced from 3 exons. The record is from RefSeq and is a predicted model, not a curated record.
UCAUUUCCCUAACGUUCGAAUGUCUUUUCCCUAACGUUCGGAGCGUUCGAAUGUCUUUUCCCUAAUGUUCCUAACGUUCGGAGGUCAUUUCUCUAACGUUCCUAACGUUCGGAUGUCUUUUCCCUAACGUUCCUAACGUUCGGAUGUCUUUUCCCUAACGUUCGGAGCGUUCGGAUGUCUUUUCCCUAAUGUUCCUAACGUUCAGAGGUCAUUUCCCUAACGUUCAGAAGUCAUUUCCCUAACGUUAGGCGAUCAUUUCCCUAACGUUCGGCUCAAUUCUGCUCCCUAAAGAUCUAACAAAUAUCCAAAGGUCGGUUUAGAAGCUUCUGUGAACAAGUGGAAGACAGGUGUGAUAAAGCAAAUCUCUUGACAUGUGACGUCAUCCAAACAGUACGACACACGUGGGUGUACCGCCUCCCGGUUCAGCACUCCAAGCCUUGCCUAUAAAUACAAGACCACCCCCUCAUGUGAAAGGGUCU